GAUGAACGCUCGCUACAGGCUUAACACAUGCAAGUCGAGGGGCAGCAUGGUCUUAGCUUGCUAAGGCCGAUGGCGACCGGCGCACGGGUGAGUAACACGUAUCCAACCUGCCGUCUACUCUUGGACAGCCUUCUGAAAGGAAGAUUAAUACAAGAUGGCAUCAUGAGUCCGCAUGUUCACAUGAUUAAAGGUAUUCCGGUAGACGAUGGGGAUGCGUUCCAUUAGAUAGUAGGCGGGGUAACGGCCCACCUAGUCUUCGAUGGAUAGGGGUUCUGAGAGGAAGGUCCCCCACAUUGGAACUGAGACACGGUCCAAACACCUACGGGAGGCAGCAGUGAGGAAUAUUGGUCAAUGGGCGAGAGCCUGAACCAGCCAAGUAGCGUGAAGGAUGACUGCCCUAUGGGUUGUAAACUUCUUUUAUAAAGGAAUAAAGUCGGGUAUGGAUACCCGUUUGCAUGUACUUUAUGAAUAAGGAUCGGCUAACUCCGUG
RNAcentral lists this ribosomal RNA (490 nucleotides) under uncultured bacterium. RNAcentral's name for it is "partial 16S ribosomal RNA". It matches the Rfam family "Bacterial small subunit ribosomal RNA", at positions 28 to 507 of the family's 1533-position model. The record is from RNAcentral.